GAUGAAGAACGUAGCGAAAUGCGAUAAGUAGUGUGAAUUGCAGAAUUCAGUGAAUCAUCGAAUCUUUGAACGCACAUUGCGCCCCAUGGCAUUCCGUGGGGCAUACCUGUUCGAGCGUCAUUUCAACCUUCGGGCGGUCCUUUGGUCCGUCUGGAUUUGGGUGUCGUCUAAUGACGUGCCUUAAAAGAAUUGGCGGUGUAGGUGCCGGCUUCGAGCGUAGCAGAUGCGAUUCGCUUUGGAAGCUGGCGUGCUCACCUUGCCAGAAAAGUCUCUGAAGAGCUGACCUCGGAUCAGGUAGGGAUACCCGCUGAACUUAAGCAUAUCAAUAAGCGGAGGA
Molecule: unclassified non-coding RNA, 337 nt
Filed under: soil metagenome
Description: partial contains 5.8S ribosomal RNA, internal transcribed spacer 2, and large subunit ribosomal RNA
Rfam family: 5.8S ribosomal RNA (bases 1-120)
Source: RNAcentral